RNAcentral lists this ribosomal RNA (412 nucleotides) under uncultured bacterium. RNAcentral describes it as "bacterial SSU rRNA". It matches the Rfam family "Bacterial small subunit ribosomal RNA", at positions 505 to 916 of the family's 1533-position model. The record is from RNAcentral.
GUGUCAGCCGCCGCGGUAACACGGGGGGAGCAAGCGUUGUCCGGAAUUACUAGGCGUAAAGGGCAAGUAGGCGGAAGUAUCAGUCAGAUGUUAAAGGCACGGGCUCAACCGGUGUAUGGCAUUUGAUACUGUAUUUCUAGAGUAAGGUAGGGGAAGACGGAAUUCCCGGUGUAGCGGUGGAAUGCGCAGAUAUCGGGAGGAACACCGGAGGCGAAGGCGGUCUUCUAUGCCAUUACUGACGCUGAAUUGCGAAGGUGUGGGUAUCGAACAGGAUUAGAUACCCUGGUAGUCCACACAGUAAACGAUGUGCACCAGAUGUUGGGGGAGAUAAUCUUUCAGUGUCGCAGUUAACGCGUUAAGUGCAUCGCCUGGGGAGUACGGUCGCAAGAUUAAAACUCAAAUAAAUUGACGG